Scomber japonicus (chub mackerel) is the source of this 721-nucleotide non-coding RNA. Lineage: Eukaryota; Metazoa; Chordata; Actinopteri; Scombriformes; Scombridae. The record is from the annotation of a RefSeq genome assembly.
AUGAAGUCAGAGCUGCUUCCACUGCCACUAAACCGAGCUGGUGUUCCUGAUUCACAUCUGAGUCCUGCAGUGUUGAACUCACAGGACUAUAAACCUUCUCAGUUCACUGGAGGAUCAGCUGACCAUGCAAAGCCUCCUCUCUAUGGAAAUGAUUUCUCUGCUCUCAACAGACUGAAGGCAACGACUUUUGGUGGAGGAACCAAACUCACCGUUGACUUGGGUGUGGUGCGGCCCACCCUGACCGUCCUCCCCCCCUCCAAAGAGGAGGUGCAGCAGGGCAGUGCCACACUGCUGUGUCUGGCCAGCGGGGGCUCUCCCUCAACCUGGAGGCUGGACUGGAAGGUGGGGGGCAGCAGCAGCAGCUCCUCAGAGGUGUCACACAGCCCGGAGGUCCUGGGGAGGGACGGCCACUACAGCUGGAGCAGCACCCUGAGCCUCUCUGCAGACCGCUGGAGGAAGGCGGGCUCAGUGAGCUGUGAGGCCAGUCUGAAUGGACAGACCCCUGUCACUCAAAGCCUGGACCCUGACCGCUGCUCAGAGUAGAGCUUCAGCAACACUUCCUGUCUGGAAAUGAUGCUUCUUUUUCUUUGCUCCAGAUCUUGAUGAAGCUACAGAUCUUCUCUGUUCAGCUGUUUUAAUGUGCAUGUUGCUUUCUAACACUGAUCUUCUUCAUAUUCUGCUUUAUGUUCAUUACUUUUCAAAUGAAACUGAAUUUUAUGAC